UUUGUGAGUACACCAGUGAAAACAGUACCCAUUAUUCAAAACAUCCUCGUGCCAUUAAGAAGAUGCAUCUGUUGGAAAGUCCAAGGACUUAAAAAGACCUGAAAAAGAAGGAGAGGAUGCCUUCUGGGGAAGAAGGAGACUCUCAAAAGCACAGCAGCAAGGUUCAGCUACCCAAGACUUUCAGAUCUCAGAAGGCGUCUUGAAAAAUCAUCCUGAUCUUACUUGGUUCACGACUGCAUGCAAACACCUUUAAAAAGAAGGACUUUUUAAAUGGAUAUUCACGUGGCUUUGACCAAAAUGCAGCCUUGCAAAUAACUGUAAGGCUGAACUACCUGCAGGCUUAAAGCUGCCAGCAAGAACAACGCCGAGAUUCUCUGGACCUGGAGCAAGGGAGAAGCCCCAGCGAACCAUCAAACUUGUCCUAGGAGCCAAUGGAUAUUCCUCUUCUGCUGCAGCUUUUUGUACAGCUUGGUUUCAUUCCACAAAGCUGCAAGAAAGCUCAGUAGAAAUUCUGAAACUGCCUGUGAGGGACCAGCUCAUGAUCCCAACCACCAACACUCAGGAGAAGACAGAAAAGAUGGCUUGGGGCUCUGUAGCAAUUUCCCCAGCAGGUCCUGGGAGCGUGUUCUGCAAAGUGCUAUUGAGCUAUCAUUGCCUUCUGCUUUCUCUGUGGGAUGAGGGGGACACUAAAUCCUUACAAUAAGGAGUCAAAAGUGUCCCCAGAUUGCAGCAGAAGAUGAUCAUCCUAACAAAACUACUCCAAACUGAAUGAGCCCACAGGAGAAAGCUGUAACCCUUCAGUAACCUCAUGUGAGCAACCGAUGUCAGAUUUUUUGAACAGAAGGACUUAAAUCAGCUCAAGCUGAAAGCUUAAUUCAGGGUCAAGCAACAGCCAGAAUCCCUGUUCUGUCCCUGUUCUCUCCUCCCAGACAAGUCUCUCCUUAAUAUAUGGCUCCCAAGGUAUCAAGAGCAUGAGGGAGCACACGUAACCAUCGGCUCUAGGUGUGUGGGACGAGAGGAAAAAGAGCCUCAUCCACAGACACUGCCGGAGAGCUGGCAGUGAGUCCUGUCAGGCAGAGUGAAAAUUUCAGACAUCAGCAGUUUGGUCUAAACCCACUGUUUUGCAUGUGGGUUUUACAAACCCAAGCUUGUACAACAGAUGUCACAAACAGUCCCCAGACAUGUCUGAGAGACAAUUCGCAGGCAGCUCCUGCCUUCCUACACAUUUUAUGGAUUAAAUCCAUAAUCCGAGAGUUUGAUCUGAGUCGUGUAAAUGUUUGAACUAAAUGCUUGAUUUGGACCUGGCUCCCCAUCCUGUCUUAUUUCUGCUUGGGUUUGUUGGGAAUACAAACCUUCAGACUGUGGAUGUGUCAUCUAUUUUGUUUCUGCUGACUUUGGCAUGUGAACGUAUCCUG
RNAcentral lists this long non-coding RNA (1415 nucleotides) under Anas platyrhynchos platyrhynchos (common mallard). Its description in RNAcentral is "lncRNA (ENSAPLG00000018276.1)". The record is from RNAcentral. Lineage: Eukaryota; Metazoa; Chordata; Aves; Anseriformes; Anatidae.